AACGAACGCUGGCGGCAUGCCUAACACAUGCAAGUCGAACGAGACCUUCGUGUCUUGGGGCGCACGGGUGCGUACGGCGUGGGAAGUUGCACGUGGGUUCGGAAUAACUCCCUGUAAGGGGUCCUAAUACCGGAUAAUGUCUUCGGACAUAAGAUUUAUUGCCUUUGGAUGGGCGCGGGUUGGUUUAGCCAGUUGGUAGGGUAAUAGCCUAGCAAGGCGACGUUCCAUAGCUGGUCUGAGAGGAUGAUCAGCCACGAUGGGACUGAGGCACGGCCCAGACUCCUACGCAGGGGAGCAGUGGGGAAUAUUAGACGAUGGGGCAAAGCGUAAUACAGCAGUGCCGCGUGAGUGAUGAAGGCCUUAGGGUUGUGAUGCUCUUUGACCCGAGAUGAUAAUGACAGUAACGGGAGAAGAAGCUCCGGCUAACUCCGUG
Molecule: ribosomal RNA, 433 nt
Filed under: uncultured bacterium
Lineage: Bacteria
Description: partial 16S ribosomal RNA
Rfam family: Bacterial small subunit ribosomal RNA
Source: RNAcentral